CCAGGAUGUUGGCUUAGAAGCAGCCAUCAUUUAAAGAAAGCGUAAUAGCUCACUGGUCGAGUCGGCCUGCGCGGAAGAUGUAACGGGGCUAAACCAUGCACCGAAGCUGCGGCAGCGAACGUAUCACUUAAAGCGAUUCAGCGGGUUACGAUUGACGGAGCGAAGCGACGUCAAAGCGUAUACAAAGUCGAGUCGGUUUAAGGAUACGUUCGUUGGGUAGGGGAGCGUUCUGUAAGCCUGUGAAGGUGGCCUGUGAGGGUUGCUGGAGGUAUCAGAAGUGCGAAUGCUGACAUAAGUAACGAUAAAGCGGGUGAAAAGCCCGCUCGCCGGAAGACCAAGGGUUCCUGUCCAACGUUAAUCGGGGCAGGGUGAGUCGACCCCUAAGGCGAGGCCGAAAGGCGUAGUCGAUGGGAAACGGGUUAAUAUUCCCGUACUUGGUGUUACUGCGAAGGGGGGACGGAGAAGGCUAUGUUGGCCGGGCGACGGUUGUCCCGGUUUAAGCGUGUAGGUGUGUGUUCCAGGUAAAUCCGGUUCACUUUAACACUGAGGCGUGAUGACGAGGCACUACGGUGCUGAAGCAACAAAUGCCCUGCUUCCAGGAAAAGCCUCUAAGCAUCAGGUAACAUCAAAUCGUACCCCAAACCGACACAGGUGGUCAGGUAGAGAAUACCAAGGCGCUUGAGAGAACUCGGGUGAAGGAACUAGGCAAAAUGGUGCCGUAACUUCGGGAGAAGGCACGCUGACACGUAGGUGAAGUGAUUUACUCACGGAGCUGAAGUCAGUCGAAGAUACCAGCUGGCUGCAACUGUUUAUUAAAAACACAGCACUGUGCAAACACGAAAGUGGACGUAUACGGUGUGACGCCUGCCCGGUGCCGGAAGGUUAAUUGAUGGGG
RNAcentral lists this ribosomal RNA (895 nucleotides) under Salmonella enterica subsp. enterica serovar Derby. Its description in RNAcentral is "partial 23S ribosomal RNA". It matches the Rfam family "Bacterial large subunit ribosomal RNA", at positions 1093 to 1889 of the family's 2925-position model. Lineage: Bacteria; Pseudomonadati; Pseudomonadota; Gammaproteobacteria; Enterobacterales; Enterobacteriaceae. The record is from RNAcentral.